This 425-nucleotide ribosomal RNA is filed under the name uncultured bacterium. Its description in RNAcentral is "partial 16S ribosomal RNA". It matches the Rfam family "Bacterial small subunit ribosomal RNA", at positions 354 to 796 of the family's 1533-position model. The record is from RNAcentral.
GUGGGGAAUCUUAGACAAUGGGCGCAAGCCUGAUCUAGCCAUGCCGCGUGAGCGAUGAAGGCCUUAGGGUUGUAAAGCUCUUUCAGGGGGGAAGAUAAUGACGGUACCCCCAGAAGAAGCCCCGGCUAACUCCGUGCCAGCAGCCGCGGUAAUACGGAGGGGGCUAGCGUUGUUCGGAAUUACUGGGCGUAAAGCGCACGUAGGCGGAUUGGAAAGUUGGGGGUGAAAUCCCGGGGCUCAACCCCGGAACUGCCUUCAAAACUCCCAGUCUUGAGUUCGAGAGAGGUGAGUGGAAUUCCGAGUGUAGAGGUGAAAUUCGUAGAUAUUCGGAGGAACACCAGUGGCGAAGGCGGCUCACUGGCUCGAUACUGACGCUGAGGUGCGAAAGCGUGGGGAGCAAACAGGAUUAGAAACCCCUGUAGUCC